UGUAAGUGACUUGCAUAUGCUAACCCAUUUAGUUCUCAGGAUGACCUUAUAGGGAAGAGACUCUUACAGUUCUUUUCCUCUCUAUUUUAAAGAUGAAUAAAUGGAGGCACAGAGAAAUUAAGUAAAUGUUCCAGGAUCAAACAUCUGCCACAAGGAGUGCUCAUAAUGUUGAACUGAGGUAGUCUAGAACCUGCCUGAGUGGGGGCUUACUCUGCACAGUGACCUGCAGCCCGGGAUUCAGUUGGUGACAGUCACUGGAGGAAUCAUUUUGUGACAGAUGCUGCUUACAAGGAGAUCAUCCUUCCUAUUUAACUUGUGGGAGAUCAUUUAGAAGGUUUGCUGGACUUGGCUAUAUUAGUCCUUCAGCUCUCAAGUGCUUUCACAGAACUACACUGUGAUGCCUAUCCCAUUCAAGGAAGGCAAGAAGCAUGGGAGGAAUGUACUUCCUUCACUGUAAGUCCACUGAAAGGGAAGAUUCUCUCCUGCAU
RNAcentral lists this long non-coding RNA (488 nucleotides) under Canis lupus familiaris (dog). RNAcentral describes it as "lncRNA (ENSCAFG00000052355.1, ENSCAFG00845008991.1)". The record is from RNAcentral. Lineage: Eukaryota; Metazoa; Chordata; Mammalia; Carnivora; Canidae.